CCAGCCGCCGCGGUAACACCGGCAGCUCUAGUGGUAGCAAUUUUAUUGGGCCUAAAGCGUCCGUAGCCGGUUUAAUAAGUCUCUGGUGAAAUCCUGCAGCUUAACUGUGGGAAUUGCUGGAGAUACUAUUAGACUUGAGACCGGGAGAGGUUAGAGGUACUCCCAGGGUAGAGGUGAAAUUCUGUAAUCCUGGGAGGACCGCCUGUUGCGAAGGCGUCUAACUGGAACGGUUCUGACGGUGAGGGACGAAAGUUAGGGGCGCGAACCGGAUUAGAUACCCGGGUAGUCCUAACUGUAAACGAUGCGGACUUGGUGUUGGGGUGGCUUUGAGCUGCUUCAGUGCCGAAGGGAAGCUGUUAAGUCCGCCGCCUGGGGAGUACGGUCGCAAGACUGAAACUUAAGGAAUUGGCGGGGGAGCACCACAACGCGUGGAGCCUGCCGGUUUAAUUGGAUUCAACGCCGGACAUCUCACCAGAGGCGACAGCUGUAUGAUAGCCAGGUUGAUGACUUUGCUUGACUAGCUGAGAGGUGGUGCAUGG
This 539-nucleotide ribosomal RNA is filed under the name uncultured archaeon. Its description in RNAcentral is "bacterial SSU rRNA". It matches the Rfam family "Archaeal small subunit ribosomal RNA", at positions 458 to 997 of the family's 1478-position model. The record is from RNAcentral.